Molecule: ribosomal RNA, 582 nt
Filed under: uncultured bacterium
Lineage: Bacteria
Description: partial 16S ribosomal RNA
Rfam family: Bacterial small subunit ribosomal RNA
Source: RNAcentral
UGGGGAAUUUUGGACAAUGGGCGAAAGCCUGAUCCAGCAAUGCCGCGUGUGUGAAGAAGGCCUUCGGGUUGUAAAGCACUUUUGUCCGGAAAGAAAUCCUCUGGGUUAAUACCUCGGGGGAUGACGGUACCGGAAGAAUAAGCACCGGCUAACUACGUGCCAGCAGCCGCGGUAAUACGUAGGGUGCAAGCGUUAAUCGGAAUUACUGGGCGUAAAGCGUGCGCAGGCGGUUUUGUAAGACGGAUGUGAAAUCCCCGGGCUUAACCUGGGAACUGCAUUCGUGACUGCAAGGCUAGAGUAUGGCAGAGGGGGGUAGAAUUCCACGUGUAGCAGUGAAAUGCGUAGAGAUGUGGAGGAAUACCGAUGGCGAAGGCAGCCCCCUGGCCAAGUACUGACGCUCAUGCACGAAAGCGUGGGGAGCAAACAGGAUUAGAUACCCUGGUAGUCCACGCCCUAAAACGAUGUCAACUAGUUGUUGGGGGAUUCAUUUCCUUAGUAACGUAGCUAACGCGUGAAGUUGACCGCCUGGGGGAGUACGGUCGCAAGAUUAAAAACUCAAAGGAAUUGACGGGGUCAUAGCUG